This 253-nucleotide ribosomal RNA is filed under the name uncultured bacterium. Its description in RNAcentral is "partial 16S ribosomal RNA". It matches the Rfam family "Bacterial small subunit ribosomal RNA", at positions 524 to 776 of the family's 1533-position model. The record is from RNAcentral.
GACGAAGGGGGCUAGCGUUGUUCGGAAUCACUGGGCGUAAAGCGCACGUAGGCGGAUGUGUCAGUCAGGGGUGAAAUCCCGGAGCUCAACUUCGGAACUGCCUUUGAUACAGCACGUCUUGAGUCCGGAAGAGGUGGGUGGAAUUCCUAGUGUAGAGGUGAAAUUCGUAGAUAUUAGGAAGAACACCGGUGGCGAAGGCGGCCCACUGGUCCGGUACUGACGCUGAGGUGCGAAAGCGUGGGGAGCAAACAGG